Molecule: ribosomal RNA, 253 nt
Filed under: uncultured bacterium
Lineage: Bacteria
Description: partial 16S ribosomal RNA
Rfam family: Bacterial small subunit ribosomal RNA
Source: RNAcentral
UACGUAGGGUGCAAGCGUUGUCCGGAAUUAUUGGGCGUAAAGAGCUCGUAGGCGGUCUGUCGCGUCGGAUGUGAAAAUCCAGGGCUCAACCCUGGACCUGCAUUCGAUACGGGCAGACUAGAGUUCGGUAGGGGAGACUGGAAUUCCUGGUGUAGCGGUGAAAUGCGCAGAUAUCAGGAGGAACACCGGUGGCGAAGGCGGAUCUCUGGGCCAUUACUGACGCUGAGGAGCGAAAGCGUGGGGAGCGAACAGG